Molecule: long non-coding RNA, 1767 nt
Filed under: Aplysia californica (California sea hare)
Lineage: Eukaryota; Metazoa; Mollusca; Gastropoda; Aplysiida; Aplysiidae
Description: uncharacterized LOC106011154
Source: RNAcentral
UCAACUUGACUGGAUGUCGAGGGGGAUGAUGAUGCAUGCGUCAACUCAUCGCCUGUCGAUCUCCCCGACCACAAGUGUUCACAAAUAAGUGUUCGUAAACGUUUUAGGCUUAAUUUCUGUAUUCGUCGAGGUAACGCGCUGCUGUGGUAGUUUUGGAUGACAGUCUGUAGACGAAUUUAAUGAGUUUUCUAGACUACGGACGCUGAUUGGGACGUGCACACAAAGAUUAGAAGGGGCACACCGGCUGUUGUUUGAAUUUGACCUGGCCUGAAAGAAUUCACGGAUCAUCUCAUCAUUUCCCGUGAGAUGUGUUUGAGAAGCCAUAUGAGUGAGCAGCCAUGCGUCCUUACACCACAGGAGAGAAGAAGAAGAGAUGGAGCGAGACUGCACGUGCAUCGGGAAAUUUAUUCCUGGGGUCCCGGUCCUGAUGUCGAUACAACAGCGAGCCGUCGGACAGCCUGCAGGAAAUGCAGAAUUUGAAGGAAUCUGUACUUGAAAAAUCAAGACCUACACUUAUGACCGCAGCAAAUAUAAGACAAUGACAAUGACAGGUAAGAGAAAUUGUCUUUUUGUCCACUUACAACUCCAUAGUCCUUCUUCUUCCAUCGCUCUUUCGAGCCAGCGAGUUGACUUUCUAAACACAAAGAAAGCUGACUCCCAGCACUGUUUGUAUUCAGCCAUAUCCGAUACAGUUAAAUCUUCUUCCACUUUUCCUGUCACACUUUUGGCGAAUUUUUUGCAAUAUUUCAACAACAAAAAAUGGAAACCAGGCAAACGGCAUAGUAUUGAAGCGUCGCUCGCAUCAGCAGACUUGAGGUAGACGUCCUCGGUAAAACAAUAAUUAAUAAUACCUGUAUGUCAUCGAACGAUUGAUUACUUCAUCUUCGCAUAAUUAUCAAAUUCUACCACGAGUUUUAAAUUUAGCUUUACUCUAAACUGUAUACGUUGUGCUGAGACAGGGUUAAAAAGAAAUCUUCAAGUACUUACCUUAAUAUUCUCUCUUAUUUAAUUACUGUGGUAUCCCCCUGUUUGGCAGUUUGUGUUUGUGUCUACGAUUGAGGCUUUCGUUUGGUGUUUUGUUUGUUGCUCUUAACUGGCAAGAACACCAGAAGAAACUAGGCCAAAAAUGGACAGCAGAUGGCUCUUUUCAUCCGACCACUGCCCCAAGCACUGGUCUAUAAGAAAAUGUGUGACCCAGUGAACUCAACCAUAUUAUAGUUUGGGCUCGGCGGGGGAGGGAGAAACAGUACACACAUUCUCAGGCACUGUCGACAGCAUUUGUCAUAACAAUUACCUUCUGUGAGGAAGAUUGGACGGUACAAGGGGAGCUCUUUUCUUAAGCUAUGUUUGGAAACCAGAAUAUUUAGAUCAUACUUUGUUCCUAUCUGUCAUUCUUCUGUGAUACGUCUUAUGAUCUUAUUAUCUUCCUGUUUUAUUUUCAUUUUGCUUUAUCAGAAUAAUUAUCACCAUCUUGUGAGUUAACUAGAGAAAAGAAGAGUAUAGAAUACAGAACAUGGACAUGGAGAGACAGACAGUUAAUACUUAUCUACAUGUAUAUAACAAACCAUUAUUGGGAGAAUACUGUAAAUGUGCUCACCUCAAAAAGAAAAGUAAGUUCCCAUGAGAUAAUUUUCCAUACACUCUCAUAUACAUUCAGCCGUAAGAAUAGAGCUAGGGUUAGAAAGGAGUGAGAAAGAGAAAAACAAACAUACAGACGGAGAUACAAAGAAGAAGAAGAAGAAGAAAAAGAAGAAGAAGAAGAAGAAG